UCUACGGGAGGCAGCAGUAGGGAAUCUUCCGCAAUGGGCGCAAGCCUGACGGAGCAACACCGCGUGAGUGAUGAAGGGCUUCGGCUUGUAAAGCUCUGUUGUUAGGGAAGAACAUACGUGAGAGUAACUAUGCACGCACUGACGGUAUCUAAUCAGCAAGUCACGGCUAACUACGUGCCAGCAGCCGCGGUAAUGGGUAGGUGGCAAGCAUUAUCCGGAUUUAUUGGGCGUAAAGCGCGCGUAGGCGGUUGCUUAGGUCUGAUGUGAAAGCCCUCGGCUUAACCGGGGGCGUGCAUCGGAAACCGGGCGACUUGAGUGCAGUAGAGGAUAGUGGAAGUCCAUGUGUAGCGGUGGAAUGCGUAGAUAUAUGGAGGAACACCAGUGGCGAAGGCGGCUGUCUGGACUGCAACUGACGCUGAGGCGCGAAAGCGUGGGGAGCAAACAGGAUUAGAUACCCUGGUAGUC
Molecule: ribosomal RNA, 465 nt
Filed under: uncultured bacterium
Lineage: Bacteria
Description: partial 16S ribosomal RNA
Rfam family: Bacterial small subunit ribosomal RNA
Source: RNAcentral